Molecule: long non-coding RNA, 825 nt
Filed under: Fukomys damarensis (Damara mole-rat)
Lineage: Eukaryota; Metazoa; Chordata; Mammalia; Rodentia; Bathyergidae
Description: lncRNA (ENSFDAG00000027467.1)
Source: RNAcentral
GAAACUUUCCCGGGAUCUUGUGGUGGUUCUGCCGCCUUUCUUUCCCAGUCAGGCCUCUGAAUCCUGUUCUCAGAUGAAAACAACAAGGAGAAAGCAAACCAUUGAGCCACUUGGAGAGGGGAGUGAUGCUCGUCACUUCAGAUGCAGGAGGUUCGAGGUGGAGGAGAACUUCCCGGAACACCCCGCUCGGAGUUGUACGUCAGGCUCUGGGCAACCAGCGGGCUGAGCCAAGGGAAACCGUGGGAAGAUCGCUGCAGCGGAAAGACCGCACCGCAAGAGCCCGGUGGCUACGAACCCGAGGACUGGGGAGCGGAGGGCUGAAAGGGGCUCGCUGGGUCCCCAUGGACGAUGGCUGGCGUCUUUACUGUGCAUCCUGUCAAAUGCUUCCGCGCGUGGUUUUCAGAUCGUUGUCCAACGCUCCAAAAGUACACCCGCGAUUUCCAUGUGGAGAAACCGACAUUUGGAAAGCGUGAUGUCCCUGGAAUCAGAGAGCUGGUGGAGGCAGAGAAACCCUUGACAGUCUCCAGGUGCAAGGCCCAGUUGUAAUCCAAGAAGAACUGGACGCAGAGCUGCAGGCUCCCUGGCUUUGCUCUGGCCUCACGCUUACCGCAACAGACAUUGCUAAUGCGGUUUUUAGACAUAAUUGGAAAUGAUAUUAGGAAAUAAAUACCAAAAUAUUAACGUGUCCCGGGGACGCGGUACGAUUGUAAUAAAGUAGUCUCCCUUCUUGUGUGUGUGGGAGGGUACGUUUGUGACAGAAAAAUUAGUACAGAUUUCUUUUUCCUCCAAUUGUUUCAGCCCAACCAAUUCCCUUGCUUAAGCCCG